This is a long non-coding RNA of Helianthus annuus (common sunflower), 402 nucleotides long. RefSeq lists it as uncharacterized. Lineage: Eukaryota; Viridiplantae; Streptophyta; Magnoliopsida; Asterales; Asteraceae. The record is from RefSeq and is a predicted model, not a curated record. The transcript has 2 exons.
AGAUGAGCAACGUGUACAUAAAUUAACAUAAACCCAAGUGUCUAAUGAGUUAGAGCACUUGUAGGUUAUUACGCGCUAAUUGGAUACCCGAACUGCUAGCAUACAUACGGACGCAAACUUGUAACUAAGUGGAUCUUGGUGCAACAAAUUAUGAAGUUUCAAGUUUACUAUGAAGACGAUGUCAUCCGUAUUUUGGAGGGUUUGAUCCAUAUAUCCCGUCUUCGAACGGGACAUAGGAUGCAAAACCUCGUUAUUUCAAAAACUUUAUUUUGAACAAGUCUUGUCUGUAGAACUUAUAAACUUAUGUUGUCUUUUGCUACAAAACAACUUUUGACUUGUAUCUUUACAUUAUGGAAUGGAUGAACAUCGUGUAUGUUUUAUAUCAUAUAGUUUGUUUACUUA